CCUACGGGGGGCAGCAGUAGGGAAUCUUUCACAAUGGGCGAAAGCCUGAUGGAGCAACGCCGCGUGCAGGAUGAAGGCCUUCGGGUUGUAAACUGCUUUUAUAAGCGAGAAAUAUGAUGGUAACUUAUGAAUAAGGAUCGGCUAACUACGUGCCAGCAGCCGCGGUCAUACGAAUGAUCCGAGCAUUAUCCGGAGUGACUGGGUGUAAAGAGUUGCGUAGGUUGCAUAAUAAGUAGCGAGUGAAAGCUGGUGGCUCAACCAUUCAGACUAUUAGCUAAACUUGUAAGCUCGAGACCGGUAGGGGUAACUGGAAUUGCUAGUGUAGGAGUGAAAUCCGUAGAUAUUAGAAGGAACACCAAUAGCGUAGGCAGGUUGCUGGGACGGUUCUGACACUAAGGCACGAAAGCGUAGGGAGCAAACGGGAUUAGAUACCCUUGUAGUC
This 442-nucleotide ribosomal RNA is filed under the name uncultured bacterium. Its description in RNAcentral is "partial 16S ribosomal RNA". It matches the Rfam family "Bacterial small subunit ribosomal RNA", at positions 338 to 795 of the family's 1533-position model. The record is from RNAcentral.